GACGAACGCUGGCGGCGUGCCUAAUACAUGCAAGUAGAACGCACAGUUUAUACCGUAGCUUGCUACACCAUAGACUGUGAGUUGCGAACGUGUGAGUAACGCGUAGGUAACCUGCCUGGUAGCGUGGGAUAACUAUUUGAAACGAUAGCUAAUACCGCAUAAUAUUGAUUAUUGCAUGAUAAUUAAUUGAAAGGUGCAAUUGCACCACUACCAGAUGGACCUGCGUUGUAUUAGCUAGUAGGUGAGGUAACGGCUCACCUAGGCGACGAUACAUAGCCGACCUGAGAGGGUGAUAGGCCACACUGGGACUGAGACACGGCCCAGACUCCUACGGGAGGCAGCAGUAGGGAAUCUUCGGCAAUGGACGAAAGUCUGACCGAGCAACGCCGCGUGAGUGAAGAAGGUUUUCGGAUCGUAAAGCUCUGUUGUAAGAGAAGAACGGGUGUGAGAGUGGAAAGUUCACACUGUGACGGUAUCUUACCAGAAAGGAACGGCUAACUACGUG
RNAcentral lists this ribosomal RNA (505 nucleotides) under uncultured bacterium. RNAcentral's name for it is "partial 16S ribosomal RNA". It matches the Rfam family "Bacterial small subunit ribosomal RNA", at positions 28 to 507 of the family's 1533-position model. The record is from RNAcentral.